UCUGGAACUCCUUUAGGACAGCAGCGUCUCUAUAGAAUAUGACGAGAACGCCACAAAUUCGAAGAAAAAGCGUGCCAUCGUUCUUUGUUGGACCGUCUUUAGCCAGUCUAUCGAAUAGCGAAGCUUCUUCGACUAGAUUACCCACAAUUCUGAUGGAAGAAAGUCAAAGUUCUAAUACUCCUGUAGCCUGUAGGAGACAGCAUCGUCUCUAUUGAAUAUGACCAGAAUGACCCAGGAUUGAAGAAAAAGCGUAGAGUACUGACUUUGAUUGUUGGACCAUCUCUAGCCUGUCUUAUUUUUUUUUUUUUAAUUAUCAUCCUGUUGAAGUAAUAUUGUAUGAUAGAAUAGAAGUCACUGUAUGUUAUCACCGAACGCUAUCAAUCUCCAGUAAAAGAAGUGCUGAUAGGUAGUUACUUAAAUUGAAUUUUAACAAGAUUCGGUGUGACGUGGGGUGGCGGGGCGAAGCCUCCGCCGCACCAAAGUCACGCCUUACCCUUACGCCGCGCCAUAUCAUAUUAGGUUUUUUUAAUUGAAUUUUUAUUUAAUGUUUGGAUAGAAACAUGCGGAAAUAUUCUUUUUAUCUCUUUCUCGAUUUCUGCAUAUUACAUCUUCAGGAAACUAAGGGCAUACAUUUUUUUUAAUGUUAUUAAUUAAUCUUAAUAAUAGGCCUACCUUUAUAACAGAAUAUUAUUAUUAUUCUAUAACUAUUCUAUAGCUCUGCCUUUAUAAAACUAUACCAAUACUACUAUACCAACUAGUAUACCCUUAACAUUCCCUUCGGGUACCUUACCCUACGCUGCCUACAGUUUAACAACCAACGCGAUUAGUCGGCGCUAGAUGGCGUCGGCAAUCACGUGUGUUUUUGGCGCCCAAAAGAGUUAGGGAAGUAAGCAGAAUUUUGUAAGGGAUCCAGUUGAAAAUCUUGAAAGAAAAUCAGUUUCUAACAUGAAGAGUGAAGAAGAGGAGUCGGUAAUGAGAACCUUCAUAGGACAAACUCGUGAUUUAAGUGAAUGUUCCAAAUGCACCAGUUUGCUACUUGACCCAGUGGAAGCAAAAUGUGGACAUUACUUUUGUCGAGGCUGCAUUACUGAGCUACCAAGAAACUCAACUGGCGAACCAACCCUUUUGUGUGGCGUGUGUCAAACUAUAGUCUGCAAAGAUGACUUGAAAACCCAAGAUGAGCAAAAUUACCUCUUCCCUGCAGCACUUUUUACAAGAUUUUUGUAGAGAGGGAGGAUGGAAAAUUGAUACUUUGUUGAGUAGUUCUGCAAAUGGUCAACCAAUUUCAAGAUCACUACCCUUAAAUUUAGAAGGGAAGUCUGAGAAAACUGUAGUACAACAGCAGCUGAUAUUGAAGAAGGCAGUGGUUCUGUUAUUAUUUGCAGUUCAUCUUCCUCUGAACUGGCUCAUCAGAGUACACUUGAACCAGAACACAAAGUACAUCAAUGGCUGAUGACCAAUCCGAAUGUAGAUCCACCCCAGACAACACUCCGCGUUUUAUUUUGGGACUAAAGACGUCAGCACAAAACCGUUGAAAACAACCGGAGAAAGACGGCUUAUUCUCGAUUGCAUACUGGUCUUCCCCUUUCAUAAUACAACCUGUUUAAAACA
Molecule: long non-coding RNA, 1611 nt
Filed under: Daphnia pulex (common water flea)
Lineage: Eukaryota; Metazoa; Arthropoda; Branchiopoda; Diplostraca; Daphniidae
Description: uncharacterized LOC124199378, transcript variant X1
Source: RNAcentral